AGUGAACGCUGGCGGUAGGCCUAACGCAUGCAAGUCGAACGGCAGCACAGUAAGAGCUUGCUCUUACGGGUGGCGAGUGGCGGACGGGUCAGGAAUACAUCGGAAUCUACUUUUUCGUGGGGGAUAACGUAGGGAAACUUACGCUAAUACCGCAUACGACCUACGGGUGAAAGCAGGGGAUCUUCGGACCUUGCGCGAUUGAAUGAGCCGAUGUCGGAUUAGCUAGUUGGCGGGGUAAAGGCCCACCAAGGCGACGAUGCGUAGCUGGUCUGAGAGGAUGAUCAGCCACACUGGAACGGAGACACGGCCCAGACUCCUACGGGAGGCAGCAGUGGGGAAUAUUGGACAAGGGGCGCAAGCCUGAUCCAGCCAUACCGCGUGGGUGAUGAAGGCCUUCGGGUUGUAAAGCCCUUUUGUUGGGAAAGAAAAGCAGCAGGUUAAUACCCCGCUGUUCUGACGGUACCCAAAGAAUAAGCACCGGCUAACUUCGUG
This 492-nucleotide ribosomal RNA is filed under the name uncultured bacterium. Its description in RNAcentral is "partial 16S ribosomal RNA". It matches the Rfam family "Bacterial small subunit ribosomal RNA", at positions 29 to 507 of the family's 1533-position model. The record is from RNAcentral.